RNAcentral lists this ribosomal RNA (492 nucleotides) under uncultured bacterium. RNAcentral's name for it is "partial 16S ribosomal RNA". It matches the Rfam family "Bacterial small subunit ribosomal RNA", at positions 29 to 507 of the family's 1533-position model. The record is from RNAcentral.
AGUGAACGCUGGCGGUAGGCCUAACACAUGCAAGUCGAACGGCAGCACAGUAAGAGCUUGCUCUUACGGGUGGCGAGUGGCGGACGGGUGAGGAAUACAUCGGAAUCUACUUUUUCGUGGGGGAUAACGUAGGGAAACUUACGCUAAUACCGCAUACGACCUACGGGUGAAAGCAGGGGAUCUUCGGACCUUGCGCGAUUGAAUGAGCCGAUGUCGGAUUAGCUAGUUGGCGGGGUAAAGGCCCACCAAGGCGACGAUCCGUAGCUGGUCUGAGAGGAUGAUCAGCCACACUGGAACUGGGACACGGUCCAGACUCCUACGGGAGGCAGCAGUGGGGAAUAUUGGGCAAUGGGCGAAAGCCUGAUCCAGCCAUACCGCGUGGGUGAAGAAGGCCUUCGGGUUGUAAAACCCUUUUUUUGGGGAAGAAAAACAGCAGGUUUAACCCCCCCCGUUUUGACGGUACCCAAACAAAAAGCACCGGCUAACUUCGUG